UCGUGUCAUCGCGAGGAAGGCCAGAAUCGAGGGAGAGAGAGAGAGCCGCAAGGAGAAGGAGGCGUCACCGUCUCGUGUCGUCGUCGUCACCGUUGAGGUCUUCAUCGUUGCCGUCCAUGGAGGUUUGCAAACAGAGAGAAGACGCGCCAUUCUACCCAGAGCCGCCACGGGAAGGGUCGUCGCCGUCAAGCCCAGCCACCAUCGCGGCCGUUCGUGCCUCCGUUUCGCGCCGCCAGAUCUGUCGCCGGGAGAGAAACAGAAUGCGCGUGGAGAGAGAAGUGGUCGCAGGGAGGUUCUGCCGCCGUUAGAACUCCGCUGCUGCUGCUGCUGCUAAGGCCGCCGCGCCUCUGCCACCAAGAAACGCCAAGGAGGGACGUCCGCUGCGUUGUUCCUGUCGCCGUUUGGAUGUACCUAAACCAAGUCGUCGUUGCCUAUCCCGAUUUCCGAGACUAUCGCCAGCUCUAUUUUGUCGCUACUCCGGUCCAAAUUCUGUGCUCAUUCAUUUUAUUCCACUUCAAUCCUCCUUAUCUUGAAUUCGACACUCUGGGUUUUGUCUCUUCGGUCCGUUAGGACCAUGCUAGUCUUGAUGAUGAUGCUGAUAAGGAAUGGUUAUAGAAUAAGGAAUAUGGUGAAGCUUUUUCGGUGAUUUCAACAAUUACUUAUGCCCUAAAGCCUCUUAUGCUAUGAUGAUAUUGUUCUGCUGGACUUUGUUUUGUUUUGUUCGCUU
Arachis ipaensis is the source of this 727-nucleotide non-coding RNA. NCBI's taxonomy places the organism in Eukaryota, Viridiplantae, Streptophyta, Magnoliopsida, Fabales, Fabaceae. The record is from RefSeq and is a predicted model, not a curated record.